Non-coding RNA from Arvicanthis niloticus (Nile rat), 860 nucleotides. NCBI's taxonomy places the organism in Eukaryota, Metazoa, Chordata, Mammalia, Rodentia, Muridae. The record is from RefSeq and is a predicted model, not a curated record.
AUGGUUCAGCAUGUGCAGAGGCUUGCUGCCGCCCCUGAAGACCUAAGUACAGUCCUUGGGACCCAUGUGUUGUUAGCAGUGAUUCAGCUGACCUCCAGAACUCCUGCGGGAUCCCCGGCUGGCCUGCACUCACAGAGCGAGGAGCAGCCGGCGUCCUCCGAGGUCAGCAUCAGGAGGAGCCUGCCAUUCUGCCGCGGCCAGGUGGUACGCGGCUUCAGCCGCGGCUCCAAGUAACUGGGCAUCCCCACAACCAAUUUUCCUGAACAAGUAGUAGACAAUCUUCCAGCUGAUGUGUCCAGUGGCAUUUAUUAUGGUUGGGCCAGCGUUGGGAGUGGAGAUGUCCAUAAAAUGGUGGUGAGCAUAGGAUGGAAUCCAUACUACAAGAAUGUGAAAAAGUCCAUGGAAACCCAUAUCAUCCAUACCUUCAAAGAGGACUUCUAUUGGGAAAUUCUCAAUGUGGCCAUUGUUGGCUACCUCAGACCUGAAAAGAACUUUGAUUCUUUGGAGUCACUUAUUUCUGUAAUUCAAGGUGAUAUUGAAGAAGCUAAAAAAAAACAGCUGGAUUUACCAGAACAUUUGAAACUCAAAGAUGACAAUUUCUUCCAAGUUUCUAAAGACAAAAUUAUGAAUGGCCACUGAUGAGAAGUACCUUCCCUGUCCACCCAUUAGUGUCUCAGUGCUUCUGAUAUAGUCUCAUCCUGUUCAUAUUUUAAAUCAAGUGUUUCCCUGUAGAUGUCAAAAGGCCUCCAGCAGUUAGCUCCAUCAUGUUGCAUAGAACUAAAGAUUCAUUCAGAAAUCAAGACUUUAAGUGUAAUAUGUUGAUUAAAAUGUAGCACUAGAAAGCUAGUGUCUUGUAAUAA